Molecule: long non-coding RNA, 425 nt
Filed under: Setaria viridis
Lineage: Eukaryota; Viridiplantae; Streptophyta; Magnoliopsida; Poales; Poaceae
Description: long non-coding RNA (SVIR_LNC006193)
Source: RNAcentral
GAGUAGCCCGUUUUUUUGCCGGAUCAUUUUAGCUGCAGUGCAGUGUGUACCCCAUGCAUCAACGUUGGCAUCUACUGGAGGUGCGCCUGCUGCUGGAGGGCGUGGUUGUUGUGGCCGCGGCGGGGGUCGUAGCCGUCCCCGUCCACCUCCUUGAACGACUCCGUGUGCACAGCCGUGUGUUGCUGCACGGCGGCGGCGGCGCCGCCGCCGCCGCCGGCGUGGCAGGGGUUCCCGGCGACUUUGGUGACGCGCUCGGAGUGCGUGUCGUGGUCGUCCAUGUUGGGUUGAGGCUGGCCGCUGCCGUGGAAGGCACUCCUCCGCCGCAACCGCAUGGCCAUAGUGAUUGGUUUCCCCUGCGUUUACCCUGUGCCUUCGCACUUGGAUCGCUAUGGUUCGCGGCUUUGCGUGGAUCAACUUGGCUGCUU